Molecule: non-coding RNA, 880 nt
Organism: Doryrhamphus excisus (bluestripe pipefish)
Lineage: Eukaryota; Metazoa; Chordata; Actinopteri; Syngnathiformes; Syngnathidae
Source: RefSeq, a predicted model, not a curated record
CAUAAAAAUAUUGUGUUUAUUUGAGUUCUACUUCAACAAGUACAUGUUUUUCAAAUUUGCUCUGGCGGCCAUCUUGAAAAUUGGCAGCAAUAUUACAUUUUAUGUUGGAUAUCGUACUUUUCUUAAAAUAUGUAUCCUAAACGUCAUCUGUGCCAAUUUUGGUGCUUGUAUCACCAAGUGAAAGAUUCUUAUGAAAUGUUUGGAUAAUCUGCCCCACUAUAGUUUUCGUCUUUCCUCUCUGUUCCUCGUUCGUGCCCUUAUUUUGUAGUCACUUCCUCUGUUGCUGUGUUCUGCUUUCCGUUCCUUGCCAUUUUCUCCCGCACCUGUUUUCAAUUUCCACACUCCCUAUUUAGUUCAGGUGUGUGCUCUUUCAUUUGUCGGUUCAUUGUCUUGUGUUGAGUUUGCCUUGCUACUGCGCCUUACAGCUGCAUAGCACGAAUAAAUAUAUUUUUACCUGCAUUUGGGUCCUAAUCUCUGCAUCCUUGGGUCGAACCAUAAAGCUCACAAGCCGGACCGUGACAAAAUCGCCAUUUCUGGAAGUGACGGAAGCACUCACCUAAAGCAGAGUAAACCAUCCCUUCUCAAGGGUUUCCUCUAGGUUUUUCUGAAGCUGGUGGUGAGGUGCUUGGGACUGCCUCUGAAUAAAAUCUGGAGGAAACUGAGCUGCAGACCAGAUGGGCAGAUACAAGGCGCUUCAUCACAGAAAAAAUAUGGGCAACAAACCAACAAAAAACCCACUUAGAGUCAGAAUGUGAGCAGGUUACUGGAACCUAAAUACGUGCAAGUAAAUUGAUUUUAGAUCCAUUGCAUCUUGUUGCUCUUUGUUUUAUGAUCACCUUCUUAAUGUAUGUAUUUGUUAUGUGUAUUUAUUAAAUGUUGG